This 508-nucleotide ribosomal RNA is filed under the name uncultured bacterium. RNAcentral's name for it is "partial 16S ribosomal RNA". It matches the Rfam family "Bacterial small subunit ribosomal RNA", at positions 899 to 1397 of the family's 1533-position model. The record is from RNAcentral.
ACUCAAAUGAAUAGACGGGGGCCCGCACAAGCGGCGGAGCAUGUUGCUUAAUUCGACGCAACGCGAAGAACCUUACCAAGGUUUGACAUCACUCGUGUGCCUGCAGAGAUGUGGGGUCCUUCGGGGCGGGUGACAGGUGGUGCAUGGCUGUCGUCAGCUCGUGUCGUGAGAUGUUGGGUUAAGUCCCGCAACGAGCGCAACCCUUGUUCCAUGUUGCCAGCGACAUCCUUGUUUGGGUGGUUGGGGACUCAUGGGAGACUGCCGGGGUCAACUCGGAGGAAGGUGGGGAUGACGUCAAGUCAUCAUGCCCCUUAUGUCUUGGGCUGCAAACAUGCUACAAUGGCUGGUACAGAGGGCUGCGAUGCCGUGAGGUGGAGCGAAUCCCUAAAAGCCGGUCUCAGUUCGGAUUGGGGUCUGCAACUCGACCCUAUGAAGUCGGAGUCGCUAGUAAUCGCAGAUCAGCAUUGCUGCGGUGAAUACGUUCCCGGGCCUUGUACACACCGCCCGU